Molecule: long non-coding RNA, 3594 nt
Filed under: Octopus vulgaris (common octopus)
Lineage: Eukaryota; Metazoa; Mollusca; Cephalopoda; Octopoda; Octopodidae
Source: RNAcentral
UAUAUAUGUAUGUAUAUGUAUAUGUGGUCGUGUGUAUAAUUUUAUUUAUAUGCACAUCUAUGCAGGUAUAUUUGUCCGUCUAUCUGUUAUCUGUAUGGGGGAUGUGUAUAUAUAUCUAAUUAUCUCUUCCAGAUGUAUGUGUGUACGUAUGAGUAUGUAUGCGCGUGCGCGCGUAAUCUUACCGGUGUUUCGGUAUAUCGUGUGACGGCAUGCUUGUAUACAUCUGUAUAUGUGUAGAAAGAGAGAGAGAGAGAGAGAGAGAGAGAGAGAGAGAGAACAGAGGGACAGAGAGAGGGAGAUAGAGAAGGAGACAGAGUAAGACAGAUGGAUAAGGAGGGAGAAAGAGAGAGAGAGACAGAGAGAGAUUGUAGUUUUCAAAAGGGAAUGUCUUCAGAAGUAUAUGUAUACAUUCAUGUUUAUAUGUGUGUAUAUAUUUUAUGUGCUGGUAUAUACGCAAAUAUUGUGCGUGUGCUCGUUCUUAAGUGUUGGUGUCACAACAUUGCAUACGUUGUGGUAAUAUUAUUAUAUGCAUGUACAUAUACAUACAUACAAAUAUAUAUAUAUAUAUAUAUAUAUAUAUAUAUGUAUUAUGAUAUCGGGUGUGAUAUGAAAGAUAAACGUGUGUAUAUUGCUGCGUAUGUAUCUACGUACGUAUGUAUAUGCCUGGUGGUGUCAUUCUGAACCUAUGUCCGCGACAGUGUCACUCUACACCUGUGCAUGCGUAUAUAUAUGUGUGUAUAAACACUCGUAUGUGUAUAUGUAAAUGGAUGUAUAAGAGAGCGCAUACGCCUGUGCGUAACUGUGCACGUGCGUGCGUGUCUAUGCCUGCGUGUAUACGCUUAUAUGCGUAUAUGUGUGUCUCUAGCUAUACAUGUGCGAAUAUAUGUCAAUGUGUGUAUGCAUGUGUAUAAAACCGUGUAUAACUAUAUGUAUAUAUAUAUAUAUAUAUGUAUAUACGCGUAUGUUAGUUUCUGUGGUAGUGCGAACGUGCAUGCGUGUAUAUAUGUCUAUAUAUGCAUGUGUGUUUAGGCACGUAUCUGCCUAUCGUGUCUGUGUAUGAUUAUACAUGUGUAUGCAUUCGUGUCAGAGUGUGUACGUGGUUAGGUCUAUAUAUAUCCAUGUUUUGUUUACGAGUGUUAAAGAGAAUAUGUGUGCCGCUACGUGCGUGUGCAUCCGUGCGUACGCGUACGUCUUAUAUGCGUAUGUAUAUUAACUUCCAAGUUUGCAUGUAUGUAUGUAUGUAUUUUUGUAUGUAUGUAUGUAUGUAUGUAUGUAUGUAUGUUUGUAUGUAUGUAUGUAUGUAUGUAUGUAUAUAUAUAUGUAUAUAUAUAUAUAUAUAUAUAUAUAUAUAUAUAUAUAUGUAUAUAUGUAUAUAUAUAUAUAUUUACUUGGAAAUGGUCUUUAGAAUGUAUAGAAUGUAUUAUGUAUGUAUGUGUGUAUGUAUGUAUUUGGAAUUUGUAUGAAUGAAAGGGUGUAUGUACGGGUGUAAAUAUGUGUGUAUAUCUAUGUACGUUUAUCUAGGCGUGUAUGCGUGUAUGCGUGUAUGCGUAAGUUUCAUUGUGUAUGCAUCUGUAUCGCCGUAUAUGCAUGUAUGUAUAUAUAUGUAUAUAUAUUUAUGAUUAUAUACAGAUGUGUUUAUAUACUUAGAUAUAUAGAGAGAGAUCUGGGUGUGUUUGCGUGUGUGAUGGAGUAUAGAAAAUAUGAUGACGGUAACGCGUCUCCUCCCAGGAAUGCUUAACUACUACUACUACUACUACUACUACUACUACUACUACUACUACUACUACUACCACCACUACUACUACUGUGGCUGCUGCUGCUGCUUGCAAUAUCAACGCCGUCACAACUUAUCAGUGCUAGUAGUAGUAGUAGUAGUAGUAGUAUUAGUAUUAGUAGUAGUAGAAGUUACAUCCAUACUAAUAACAACAACAACCAAAAUUAUCAACAGCUGCAUUUGGUAAAAUAACUUGUAUAGCAGCGGGCUUUAUUAAUCAGUUCGAAGUUGUUGUUGUUUUAUUCCCAAAUCAGCGUUGGUCGUUCAGACAUUCGACUAUGAUGAGAAAGCCUUCCAGUCGUGACCAUCCUAAUUGCUUUUGUUUAUUUUAUUUUUCUAUUUUUGCCUUUCGUCUUUUAUUCAGUUUUACCAUUCAGCUAUAAGUGUUGCGUUGCUAUGACUAUAUUAUCCAACGUGGCAAAGGUAGUAGGAGGUUUCGAAGGUGGUUUGGCUGCUAUUUCUAAUAGAUCGAACGAGCAGGUAAGAGACUCCACCGUUGGCUCCUGUUAAACUGUGUUGUUGUUGUUGAUUAUUUUGUUGUUGUUCUUGUUGGUGUUGGUGUUUGGUGUGUUGCGGUGGUGGUGGUGGUUGUUAUGAUGGUGUGGCUAUUUGUGGUGAUGGUGGUGAUGGUUGUUAUGAUGGUGUGGCUAUUUGUGGAGAUGGUGGUGGUGGUGGACGAUAUGAUGGUGUGGCUAUUCGUGGUGUUGGUGAUGAGUGCAUUGGUGGUAUUGGUGGUGGUUGAUAUGCUGGUUUUACUAUUUUGUGGCGAUUGUGGUGGCGUUGGUUGCUAUGGAGAUAAUGGUUGUUGCUGUGGUUGUAGUUGCUGGUAGUUGGGUUUGGUGCAAACCAUCGGGAUGAUGUUAUUGCUGGUGUUGGUGAUGACGGCGUCGUGUUGUUGGUUGUAGUUGCUGGUGUUGCUGUUGGUGGCGUUAAUGGUGUUGACACUAAUAAUGGUGAUGGUGGUAUUGGUGUUGGUGCUGUGAUAGCGUUGACGGUGAUGGUGAUGGUGGUGGUGGUGGUAAUGCUGGUGACGUUAGUGGUUGUGUUAGUGGUAGUCGCGAUGUCCGUGGCUCCCGUGGCGAUGGUGGUAGUGAUGGGAUUUGACGUUGAUGUUGUCGGUGGUGGUUAAGGUGAUGUUCACUGUGUGUGCGUGUGUGUGUGAGGUGUUGAUGGUGGCUGGUGUUGUGUUUAUUUUGCCGGAGAUGUAGACGGUGGUGGCUGUGAAUGUGGGGAUGGUUUGGGAGGAGGGGUUUGAUAAACUGGUGAUAAAAAAAAGUGAAGAUGGAGGCUGUGUUGUUGUUGUUGUUGAUGACUAUGUUGACGAUGACGACGGUGAUGAUAAUGAUGAUGAUGAUGAUGACGAUGAUGAUGACGACGAUGGUGACGAUGAUGGUGAUGAUGAUGGUGAUGAUGAUGAUGAUGAUGAUGAUGAUGACGAUGAUGAUGACGACGAUGGUGACGAUGACGAUGAUGAUGAUGGUGAUGAUGAUGAUGAUGAUGACGAUGAAUGCGGCGAUGAUGAUGAUGGUGAUGACAACCACGAUGCAAAAGACGACCAAGACAACGACGAUGACGAUGAUGAUGAUUGUGGAUCACAACGACGACAGUUAUGAAAAUAAUAGCAACGAUGAUGACGAGGGCGACGAUGACAACGACGGUGAUGAUGAUGACGGCGGCGGUUGUGGCGGGGGAGGGGGAUCUGGUAGUCACUGUAGUGGUGAUUCUGAUAGAUUGUGUGAAUGCAGAGAUGGAAGAAGAAGAAUAGGAAGAAGAAGAAGAAGAAGAAGAAUAGGAAGAAGAAGAAGAAGAAGAAGUAGAAG